CACUCCCUCCCUCCGUUCCGAAUUACUUGUCUUGGAUUUGUCUAGAUACGGAUGUAUCUAGACUCAUUUUAGUGCUAGAUACCUCCGUAUCUAGACAAAUCUAAGACAAGUAAUUCGGAACGGAGAGAGUAGAAA
Molecule: non-coding RNA, 135 nt
Organism: Triticum aestivum (bread wheat)
Lineage: Eukaryota; Viridiplantae; Streptophyta; Magnoliopsida; Poales; Poaceae
Source: Rfam